Molecule: ribosomal RNA, 253 nt
Filed under: uncultured bacterium
Lineage: Bacteria
Description: partial 16S ribosomal RNA
Rfam family: Bacterial small subunit ribosomal RNA
Source: RNAcentral
UACGAAGGGGGCUAGCGUUGCUCGGAAUCACUGGGCGUAAAGGGUGCGUAGGCGGGUCUUUAAGUCAGGGGUGAAAUCCUGGAGCUCAACUCCAGAACUGCCUUUGAUACUGAAGAUCUUGAGUUCGGGAGAGGUGAGUGGAACUGCGAGUGUAGAGGUGAAAUUCGUAGAUAUUCGGAGGAACACCAGUGGCGAAGGCGGCUCACUGGCCCGGUACUGACGCUGAGAUACGAAAGCGUGGGGAGCAAACAGG